This 841-nucleotide ribosomal RNA is filed under the name uncultured bacterium. RNAcentral's name for it is "bacterial SSU rRNA". It matches the Rfam family "Bacterial small subunit ribosomal RNA", at positions 8 to 796 of the family's 1533-position model. The record is from RNAcentral.
AGAGUUUGAUCCUGGCUCAGGACGAACGCUUGCGCGUACCUAAAAUAUGCAAGUCGAGCGGAUCCCCUUUCCACCGGGCAUCUUCACGAGUGGGCGCUUGGUUGAAUUUGUGCCUGUGCGCUUUCUUUUCUAGGGUGUCGGGUGGAGAGGGGGUUAGCGGCGAACGGUCGCGUAACACGUAGGCAACCUGCCCGAAAGACCGGGACAACGCCUCGAAAGAGACGCUAAUACCGGAUGUGGCCGAGAGGAGACCUCUCUUCUCGUCUAAAGCAUUCAUGGCUUUCGGAGGGGCCUGCGGCCUAUCAGCUAGAUGGCGAGGUAAUGGCUCACCAUGGCGACGACGGGUAGCUGGUCUGAGAGGGCGAUCAGCCGGACUGGGACUGAGAUACGGCCCAGACUCCUACGGGGGGCAGCAAUUAGGAAUCUUGCGCAAUGGGGGCAACCCUGACGCAGUAACGCCGCGUGGAGGAGGACGGCCUUCGGGUUGUAAACUCCUUUUGACGAGGAAGAAGCAAGUGACGGUACUCGUCGAAUAAGCCCCGGCUAACUCCGUGCCAGCAGCCGCGGUAAUACGGAGGGGGCCAGCGUUGUCCGAAGUUACUGGGCGUAAAGCGCGCGUAGGCGGGGGAUUAAGUCCGCUGUGAAAGCCCGAGGCUUAACCUCGGUAGCGGUGGAUACUGGUCUUCUUGAAGAUGCUAGAGGGAGAUGGAAUUACCGGUGUAGCGGUGAAAUGCGUAGAGAUCGGUAGGAACACCCAUGGCGAAGGCAGUCUCCUGGGGCAGUCUUGACGCUGAGGCGCGAAAGCUGGGGGAGCGAACGGGAUUAGAUACCCUAGUAGUCC